AGCGAACGCUGGCGGCAGGCUUAACACAUGCAAGUCGAACGGGCAUAGCAAUAUGUCAGUGGCAGACGGGUGAGUAACGCGUGGGAACGUACCUUUUGGUUCGGAACAACACAGGGAAACUUGUGCUAAUACCGGAUAAGCCCUUACGGGGAAAGAUUUAUCGCCGAAAGAUCGGCCCGCGUCUGAUUAGCUAGUUGGUAGGGUAAUGGCCUACCAAGGCGACGAUCAGUAUCUGGUCUGAGAGGAUGAUCAGCCACAUUGGGACUGAGACACGGCCCAAACUCCUACGGGAGGCAGCAGUGGGGAAUAUUGGACAAUGGGCGAAAGACUGAUCCAGCCAUGCCGCGUGAGUGAUGAAGGCCCUAGGGUUGUAAAGCUCUUUUGUGCGGGAAGAUAAUGACGGUACCGCAAGAAUAAGCCCCGGCUAACUUCGUG
RNAcentral lists this ribosomal RNA (435 nucleotides) under uncultured bacterium. RNAcentral's name for it is "partial 16S ribosomal RNA". It matches the Rfam family "Bacterial small subunit ribosomal RNA", at positions 29 to 507 of the family's 1533-position model. The record is from RNAcentral.